This is a long non-coding RNA of Clupea harengus (Atlantic herring), 1112 nucleotides long. NCBI's taxonomy places the organism in Eukaryota, Metazoa, Chordata, Actinopteri, Clupeiformes, Clupeidae. The record is from Ensembl.
UGACAAUGGAGAGGUUUGGGUUUGUUAUUUAUGUAACAUUGAAUGUGUAGGGUACAGUAAGAGUGUUGAAUGUGUAGAGUAAGAGUGUUGAAUGUGUAGGGUACAGUAAGAGUGUUGAAUGUGUAGAGUAAGAGUGUUGAAUGUGUAGGGUUCAGUUAGAGUGUUGAAUGUGUAGAGUAAGAGUUUUGAAUGUGUAGGGUACAGUUAGAGUGUUGAAUGUGUAGGGUUCAGUAAGAGUGUUGAAUGUGUAGGGUACAGUUAGAGUGUUGAAUGUGUAGAGUAAGAGUGUUGAAUGUGUAGGGUACAGUAAGAGUGUUGAAUGUGUAGAGUAAGAGUGUUGAAUGUGUAGGGUUCAGUUAGAGUGUUGAAUGUGUAGAGUAAGAGUUUUGAAUGUGUAGGGUACAGUUAGAGUGUUGAAUGUGUAGGGUUCAGUAAGAGUGUUGAAUGUGUAGGGUACAGUUAGAGUGUUGAAUGUGUAGAGUAAGAGUGUUGAAUGUGUAGGGUACAGUAAGAGUGUUGAAUGUGUAGAGUAAGAGUAUUGAAUGUGUAGGGUUCAGUUAGAGUGUUGAAUGUGUAGAGUAAGAGUUUUGAAUGUGUAGGGUACAGUUAGAGUGUUGAAUGUGUAGGGUUCAGUAAGAGUGUUGAAUGUGUAGGGUACAGUUAGAGUGUUGAAUGUGUAGAGUAAGAGUGUUGAAUGUGUAGGGUUCAGUUAGAGUGUUGAAUGUGUAGGGUUCAGUUAGAGUGUUGAAUGUGUAGGGUACAGUUAGAGUGUUGAAUGUGUAGAGUAAGAGUGUUGAAUGUGUAGGGUACAGUAAGAGUGUUGAAUGUGUAGAGUAAGAGUGUUGAAUGUGUAGGGUUCAGUUAGAGUGUUGAAUGUGUAGAGUAAGAGUUUUGAAUGUGUAGGGUACAGUUAGAGUGUUGAAUGUGUAGGGUUCAGUAAGAGUGUUGAAUGUGUAGGGUACAGUUAGAGUGUUGAAUGUGUAGAGUAAGAGUGUUGAAUGUGUAGGGUUCAGUUAGAGUGUUGAAUGUGUAGGGUUCAGUUAGAGUGUUGAAUGUGUAGGGUUCAGUAAGAGUGUUGAAUGUGUAGGGUUCAGUAAGGUAUUCUGCCUUCC